AGCCUAAAAUGUGAAAAUAAUACAGAGAAAUUGCACCAUUUGGAGUACCUAUUUAUUUUAAGCCAUUGACCAUAGAGAUCAUUCUAUGUAGGAUAAAGAGAGAUGUUCCACCAUUCAAAUGAGUCCUAUAUCAGCAAUACAGAUAAUAAACUAAUUCAAAUAUACUCACAUUUAUGAUCCCUUCUCAAUAUUUUGACCCAUACAACUAUUAGACAAGGUGUCAAUGAAGUGCUGUGAGGUGGCAGAGUCAUCAUCAACCCAUUAAAAGGAUAUGGACAAUCGAACUCAUCAAGAUCAUUGUAUUAAAGGAAAAGACAGGCUUACAAGCCAGCAGAGAGACCAAAAUAUUGAUGGUCCAAAGGCAGUGAGAGUUUUGGAAAAGUGGUCUUCCACCUCUUCUCCCUCCUAUUUGAACUCUCCUCACCAUGCACAUUGGAUUAAAAGAGAGAAGAGGGAGAAAGUUCAUGUAAGUUUUCCGUCUUUGCCUUCAUCUCACUUCCCUGCAUGUUCUUGUUAGUGUCAGCCUGCAGAAACAUUUGCCUUUAUGAGAGAAUUUUUCAUGGUUUAGCAGUUCUAAAUAGAAUAAAUUCAUUUUGGCUUAUAUUUUCUUUAUGAAUGCAGUGAUCAUCUUCAGUAAAUGGCUGUGUCUGAAGAGGUAAAUUCAAUUUAUUAUAUUAUAUUUUUCCAUUAAUAAUUGCAAAUCCUUUUUUACACAUUCUGGAUUGAUUUAUUAUAUUAAUUUCAUCACUGGAGGCACUUAAAAUAAAUGACUCUUCACCGAAGAUAUCAAAACUAUCAGAGAGUAUAGGAAAAUAUGACAUAGAUCGAGGGCAUAUCGACACUGCUGCACCCUUUGAGUCUGUGAAGGAUGCCAUAAGUAAGUUUGGAGGAAUCGUUGAUGGAGAAGCUCAAACAAUCUUAACCAUGGAGGUAUAUUUAUUUUCCUAUAUAUAAUUUUCCACUAAACUCUGAUCAUUCAAGUCAAAUCAUUUUCUAUUAGUUUGAUUUUUCAUUGAUGUGAUAUAUAUAUGUAGAGGCAGAAGCAUAUCCAACUUGAACUCGAGAAGAUACGAGAAGAAAUUACAAAGUACAGACAACAAUGUGAAGCUGCAGAAGUUACCAAAGAACAUGUGCUGAAGGAGUUAGAUCACGCAAAGAGAUUAAUGGUGGAGCUGAACGUAAGGCUGGAGAAGGCAGAAUCCCAGGAGGCACAAGCAAAUCAAGAAGACGAACUCGAUGAGAUCAACAGAGAAAGGAACACAACUGUUGUUGCAGGGGUGGACUCAGAACAGCUAGAGCUGGAAUCAAUGGAAAGAGAACAUGUUGCAGCAAGGAAAGAUCAAGAUCUUGCCUCUGCAUCCGAGGAGAUUGAGAAGACUGUAGAGGACUUAACCUUGGAACUCAUCGGGACCAAGGAAUUGCUUGAAGAUAGUGCAGCCUUGGCCUUGGAGCAGGACAAAUUAAACUGGGAAAGGGAGCUGAAGCAAGCUGAAGACGAAUUGCAACAGCUGAACGAGCAGCUCAUGCUGACAAAUGAUCUCAAGUCAAAGUUCGAACAAGCUUCUGCAUCACUUUGUAGUCUGAGAGUUGAAAGAGCUUCGCACAUGGAAGCAAAACUAAGUCAGGUGGUAAAGGACUGUACAUAUACAAAGGAACUUGAGGAAGUGAGGACUAACAUUGAGAGAGCUACCAGUGAAAUCGAUCACCUGAGAGCUGCAGUUUCUUCGCUCAAGUCCGAGGUAGAAAUGGAGAGAACAUCCCUCACCACCAUGAAACAGAGGGAAGGUAUCGCAUCUUCAUCGGCCUCGUCUCUCGCAGCUGAACUCAACAUAAUGGAGAAGAAGGUAGAGGAAAAGACGGUGGAGCUGAAGACGUUAGAACAAGCAGCCAAGGAAGCGAAGCAAGCUAAAUUAGAAGCUCAAAUGGCACGAAAGGAGCUAAGGAAGGCCAAGGAAAUAGCAGAACAAGACAAAGCGGAAGCUACUAAGAUGGAGGAAAGAUUAAACGCCACGGUUAGCGAGAUCAAGGCAGCUAAAGCAGUGGAGAAAUUAGCUUACUCGACAGCCAAAGCAAUGGAAG
RNAcentral lists this long non-coding RNA (2079 nucleotides) under Musa acuminata (dwarf banana). Its description in RNAcentral is "long non-coding RNA (MACU_LNC003032)". Lineage: Eukaryota; Viridiplantae; Streptophyta; Magnoliopsida; Zingiberales; Musaceae. The record is from RNAcentral.